RNAcentral lists this ribosomal RNA (497 nucleotides) under uncultured bacterium. RNAcentral describes it as "partial 16S ribosomal RNA". It matches the Rfam family "Bacterial small subunit ribosomal RNA", at positions 28 to 507 of the family's 1533-position model. The record is from RNAcentral.
GAUGAACGCUGGCGGCGUGCCUAAUACAUGCAAGUCGAGCGAACAGACGAGGAGCUUGCUCCUCUGACGUUAGCGGCGGACGGGUGAGUAACACGUGGAUAACCUACCUAUAAGACUGGGAUAACUUCGGGAAACCGGAGCUAAUACCGGAUAAUAUAUUGAACCGCAUGGUUCAAUAGUGAAAGACGGUUUUGCUGUCACUUAUAGAUGGAUCCGCGCCGCAUUAGCUAGUUGGUAUGGUAACGGCUUACCAAGGCAACGAUGCGUAGCCGACCUGAGAGGGUGGUCGGCCACACUGGAACGGAGACACGGUCCAGACUCCUACGGGAGGCAGCAGUAGGGAAUCUUCCGCAAUGGGCGAAAGCCUGACGGAGCAACGCCGCGUGAGUGAUGAAGGUCUUCGGAUCGUAAAACUCUGUUAUUAGGGAAGAACAAAUGUGUAAGUAACUAUGCACGUCUUGACGGUACCUAAUCAGAAAGCCACGGCUAACUACGUG